GGAUGUAGUUCAGUGGUACAGUGCUUGCCUAGCACGUAUGAGGUCCCAGGUUCAAUUCCUGGUACUGCCA
This 70-nucleotide transfer RNA is filed under the name Fukomys damarensis (Damara mole-rat). It matches the Rfam family "tRNA". Rfam says of the family: Transfer RNA (tRNA) molecules are approximately 80 nucleotides in length. Their secondary structure includes four short double-helical elements and three loops (D, anti-codon, and T loops). Further hydrogen bonds mediate the characteristic L-shaped molecular structure. tRNAs have two regions of fundamental functional importance: the anti-codon, which is responsible for specific mRNA codon recognition, and the 3' end, to which the tRNAs corresponding amino acid is attached (by aminoacyl-tRNA synthetases). tRNAs cope with the degeneracy of the genetic code in two manners: having more than one tRNA (with a specific anti-codon) for a particular amino acid; and 'wobble' base-pairing, i.e. permitting non-standard base-pairing at the 3rd anti-codon position. The record is from Rfam by way of RNAcentral. Lineage: Eukaryota; Metazoa; Chordata; Mammalia; Rodentia; Bathyergidae.